AUUAGCCUUUAGGAUGCGAUUUUGUGGAGUGUGAGGAGCUAAUCGCCUUCAUGCCUGUAUAUUCGUGUACUUGGGGUGUACUUAUUCGUGUGGUAAGUUAACAUCAAUUUUGGUCGUCAUAAAAUGACUGGAGGAAUGUAGCUUCGAUCUCGUAUUGAAGUGUUAUAGCCUUUGGUAGAUGUGAUUAUCGGGAUUGAGGAUUGCAACGGAUACCCUUCGGGGCUACUUGUCUGAUCUCUGAUCGUUGCUCUGGUGCCGAAAGCGUGCUUACGGUUAUCAAAGUCGAUGGUUAAUAGGUUAGAAUGGGUUAAAUUCGUUAAGGAUGUUGACGUAAUGGCUUU
RNAcentral lists this ribosomal RNA (341 nucleotides) under uncultured Glomeromycotina. RNAcentral describes it as "eukaryotic LSU rRNA". Lineage: Eukaryota; Fungi; Glomeromycota. The record is from RNAcentral.